AGUGAACGCUGGCGGUAGGCCUAACACAUGCAAGUCGAACGGCAGCACAGUAAGAGCUUGCUCUUACGGGUGGCGAGUGGCGGACGGGUGAGGAAUACAUCGGAAUCUACUUUUUCGUGGGGGAUAACGUAGGGAAACUUACGCUAAUACCGCAUACGACCUACGGGUGAAAGCAGGGGAUCUUCGGACCUUGCGCGAUUGAAUGGGCCGAUGUCGGAUUAGCUAGUUGGCGGGGUAAAGGCCCACCAAGGCGACGAUCCGUAGCUGGUCUGAGAGGAUGAUCAGCCACACUGGAACUGAGACACGGUCCAGACUCCUACGGGAGGCAGCAGUGGGGAAUAUUGGACAAUGGGCGCAAGCCUGAUCCAGCCACACCGCGUGGGUGAAGAAGGCCUUCGGGUUGUAAAGCCCUUUUGUUGGGAAAGAAAAGCAGCAGGUUAAUACCCCGCUGUUCUGACGGUACCCAAAGAAUAAGCACCGGCUAACUUCGUG
RNAcentral lists this ribosomal RNA (492 nucleotides) under uncultured bacterium. Its description in RNAcentral is "partial 16S ribosomal RNA". It matches the Rfam family "Bacterial small subunit ribosomal RNA", at positions 29 to 507 of the family's 1533-position model. The record is from RNAcentral.